Cygnus olor (mute swan) is the source of this 804-nucleotide long non-coding RNA. RefSeq lists it as uncharacterized. The transcript has 4 exons. The record is from RefSeq and is a predicted model, not a curated record. NCBI's taxonomy places the organism in Eukaryota, Metazoa, Chordata, Aves, Anseriformes, Anatidae.
CAGACAGCUGGGUCCCUAUGUGCACAGAGACAAGGAAGACCUUUCUUUGGUCAACCUACACCAAGUGUACAACAAAGAAGCAUCCACAGGAGAUGUGCAAAUACAUAUAAACAGAACGGAAAGACGGGUAAAGGUUUUCACUGACUUUCGCUGACAGAACCUCUUUAUUUAGAAGCACAGAAAAAAAGGUUUAAGGCUGUCAGGGUUGUACUCCAGAGGCAGCUCCAGCAAAACCCCUGCAGAGGAAGAGCAAAUGUUCGCAACCCACCAGAAUCUUCUCCAGCAUAAAAAAAGAUGGCCUUGCCUUUUCCUGAUGUGGACCAAAAGAAAUAAAAAUGGAUCCAUCCUGCAUUGCUGUGGGUAUGGUGGGAGUAUCAAGGAAAAGACUUGCCUAUAUAGUUACAAGAAACAGUCCAAAGGAAGAGACAUCAAACAACAGAGCUGGAAUCAAGCGAACACAUCACAAAACAAAAUAGCAGAUUUCAUCAAUACAGGAGAAAAGUAUCCUCUUGGAAGAAGAAGAAAAUAUGUAUUUUGUUCAAGUAGUAAGCUACUUGUAUUUUCUCCUAAAGUACCUCUUCAAUAGUUCAAGGCUGCAAUCACUGCUUUAUAGAAUUCAUUUGAAACAAAGAUAUUAAAUAUGUGUUUUUGUUUGUUUGUUUUUUGUGUAAUACAUGACUUUUUUAAAGUCUUCUGGGUCACUUCAAGGACAAUGGUUCUUCAACAGAUAAGGACAACUUGAAUUGCUCUCCUUUUCACUUGUUAAACAAUUGCGUAACUUUGUAGAUUUCAUGGUUGUUCUUU